Molecule: non-coding RNA, 313 nt
Organism: Pelobates cultripes (western spadefoot toad)
Lineage: Eukaryota; Metazoa; Chordata; Amphibia; Anura; Pelobatidae
Source: the annotation of a GenBank genome assembly
AAAGACAAAAUAAACAAAAAAGAACAAAAAAAAUCAUCAAUAUAACUGUUUAAGGCAAGGAUAUACUGGCAGUAUAAUGUAAUGUAGGCACUGUGUAGCGUUAGACACCGAAAGUUUCCACGUAAAGUACAACGUUUCCAUUGAAAACCAUCGUAUGCACGAUGUAUACUUCAAUCACGCUACAUUUGUCCAAUGCCAACCACUAUCAAAAGGAGUUCACACCAAAGGUUUCCAUGGUAUAGCUGUCACAUUGAUAAACAUACUCAAAAAAACCAAAACAAUUAUAGUAGAAAUAAAUUAAAUUCUCUGAGAC